GUGCUUAUUUCAGUAGUACAUGUACUAAAAUUGGAAUGAUACAGAGAAGAUUAGCACAGCUCCUGUGCAAGGAUGACAUGCAAAUUUUUGAAUUGUUCUGGAUGAAC
Small nuclear RNA from Gracilinanus agilis (Agile Gracile Mouse Opossum), 107 nucleotides. The record is from RefSeq and is a predicted model, not a curated record. Lineage: Eukaryota; Metazoa; Chordata; Mammalia; Didelphimorphia; Didelphidae.